CGUAGGUGCGCAUAGAUAAUAAGAUAUUUUACAUUUCAGUUCUGAAUGACAACUUAGUUUGUUGAAACUUGUAAGUAUGUAAUUUAAUAGGAUUUUAAGAAAGGAUUUAAAUCUGUUAGUAAAUGGUCAAUUAUUUGUUUUAAUUUACCCUUUACUUCAGACGCUCUAGAGUUAACAUUUGAUAGCUAUAUAAGAAUUAAAGUAAAUGUUUAUCAAGUGAAUUUCGUUGAUGAAUUACAAGACGAAUCGUAAAUUUAUAGUUUUAUAAACUCGCAAGGUGUGAUCUCAGAUGUCCCAAAUCUUUUUACUCGUAUAGACCUAAAAUAAGACUUAAUAUUGAAAAUUGAUUUUUUUUUAUAUUAACGUGUAUUACGUGUGUUACAUACUCGAUGUUUAUCAGAUUUCCAUCUUGCCAUUAAAUAAUUUCCGUUAGAUGAUAUUGACAACCUCGAUGAUAAUGAAAUCCUGACUUAAAGUAAUAUGAAGUAAUAUGAAACCUUAAAUUAAAAGAAAAUAUGCAUAUAUGUUUUUUUUAUAACAACAUGGAUAGUUGUCAUUAUUGAACUUAUGUACAUAUACUUUUUCUGAAGAUAAUUCUUUAGCUUGUCCACAUUUAGAAGAAGUUGACUAUUUUUAAUUGCUUGCUUCCAGGAAGCAAUUCGCCGACAUAUUUUCCGUAUGCAAAUGUUCUUAGCGUAACCCUUUUCAUAAAAAUCCGGUAAUCGCAAUACGCACGGAUCUGUCAAUGAAAUGAACUAUUAUCUGAUUGUACAUGUUAAACACCUGCUAAAUAUCCUUGCUUCUUUAUUGAUUGUUUACUAUAAGGUGACAAUCGGUAAAUUACGGCUUCAAAACACGACAAAUAAUGAGCUUUCAUAUAUUCACAUCAUAACAGACAGAGAGAAAAAAAUGACGACUAUACGAUAUGUUAAAAUCAAGCACAGAAGACUAAGUUUAUGAUAAAUACAUGCAUUGGUUCAAGAAUUGGAUAAGCAUUAUUUUUCAACAGUCACUUGUUUCAUAUGACUUUAAAGUCCACAUCUGUAAUUUCAUCAACUGAGAAACUACCCUUUGAUUUUUUAACAAUGUUACUUUUUAAUGAAUUUGGUAUUGAUGACAUUAUGUUUGGUGACGAGGGCGAUAAGGGGGUGGUUUUUUUUCUCACUUGAUAACCACUUAAUUCCACAUCACAAAGAACGUUUUAUUCCCCCUUGGUAGCCUAUUUUGAGUUUGUUCACAAUAUUUCCAGAUUAGGACGAUUUAUUCUAGACCCUAAACUUUGUUUUGAUAUCAGUCUAUACUUGGAGUCUAUAUGUCCGAACAUGGAUGUAUACAUUUUUUGUCUGUUUUAUGCUUGUCCUGUCAUUUACCCAUUCACUAGAUGGUAUUCUUAAAAGCUGAAUUGGGAAUGUACCCUAUUGUUACACAGACCCUUAAGUCUUCUGUGGGAUCUGGUUAUAUAUUUUAAAUUCAAAUGAAAUUGAUUUUUUAUUAUAUAAUGUUUAUAAAGUUAACAAGCAGUUUAAUGAUGGAUUUGCUUCAAAAAUUAAAAUGCUACUUUAUAAAUUGAAUUUCACUCAUGGUUUUGAAAAUCCAGAUACCUUUUCUAUAAAAAAAAAAACCAUUACUGUCAGCCCUCGUGAAGAAGCUCAAUGCAAAUUACAUUAUAUUUUGGAAAAAAAUGUCCCUUUAAUGAUGAUAAUUCAAUAAAUGGAAAUAGAUUAAGAACCUACAGAAAAUUUAAAGUAAAAUAUGAAUUGAAAAGUACCUUUUAUUGAAUUUAUAAAAAAUAGAUAAAAAUGUUACAAAAAAUAUAUUUAGAUAAGAAUAAGUAAAAGUAUGCUAGCUGUUGAACGCGGUAGAUACAACAAAACAGCCGUGAAAAAUAGAAUAUGUGCAUCCAUAAAGAGGUGGAAAAUGAGUUCCAUUUUAUCAUAACAUGUAUAAUAUUAAUAAAACUAGCAAAAUGUUUAAUGGAAUUUCUAGUAUUGUUCCUAGUUUAAAUGCAAUGAGUAAAGAAAAAAAAAAAGAUUUUAUAUUUUCUUUUGAAGAAUGUGAUAUUUUACUUAUCAUAGGUUAACAAUAUAAGUGAAAUGUAUAAUGAGAAAAACAAUAAUAAUGACAAAAUAUGAACUGUGUGUGAUUGGUGACUUAAAUUAUUAUGAUGUUAUAUAUAAUCAUAAUAUGGGAGUUGAUAAUGUAUUAAGGAGGCAAAAAUAGUAUUAUAAUUAUUAUUAACAAUGUUUCUUUCUUUUCCAAUGCUAUAUGUUUGUAUUGUUUAAUAUCAAUUGUUUUGUCAUUACCAUGUCUGUCUGUUUGUCUGUUUGUCUACUUGUUUCUAGAUUUAAAAAAAAAGUAGUAUGAUUGCCAAUGAUACAACUAUCCAAUGAUCCAAACGGACAAAUAUAUUUACAUGGAGAAUUUAACACAAGCGUAACUCAUACCUCAUCUAUAAAAUGCACAGGAAGACAAAUAUGAAACAAUUCAUACGAUAUAAACAACUGAUUUAUGCUCAACACUAUAAACGACAAGUGCAAUCAUGACAGACUGUAACCAACAACAACAUGAAAAUAUAGGCAUAUAUAGGCAUUUAUAUGCAAAAACUACAAAUAAUCACUACCCUUAUUUUUUUAAUUUAGACACAUCCAAUUAACAAAGAAAAUUAAAAUUUUCUCAAAUAAUUCAUUUGUCUUUCCUCUUGUUUGUUUCUUUGUUUUGGCUCUGUGUGGUUAUAUAUUUGUAAAAUUUUCAAUUUGUAUUUUUGGCUGAUAAAUAAUCAUAUUGUAGAAGAAUGAAAAGGAAUGUCAAGCUUAAACAAUAUUUAUAGUUCGUUGUUAGAGGAUAAACCAUACAAAAACGUUGAACUGAUACACACUUGAUCAUUUGACUAAGUCUCCUUAUUGUUUAACGCAUGUAUUGUUGCAAAAAAAUAGAUAACCUAACACCACGUCAGCAGUACAGGAAAGGUUCCUAAAAAAUUUCAGGGGGUGUCACCAAAACGAGCUUCAAAAGUAAAAAAAAAAAUCCCAAUUUAGGUCAUGACUGUAGUAAGAAAGUAAAUGGUAACACAUGGUCUUUACAAUUAAAUCUAAUUUAAUUUGUUUGUGAUGUAUGCGAACCAAAGUGAUUACCAUCACAUCACGGUCUAAAUAUAUAUAUUACCGCACGUGCAUCAGCGUAAUCAAUAAAGAUUUAUACAUUUAACAAUCAAUUAACGAUUUAAUUUUUUUUAUAACGCCAGAGUCUCGUUUUUGAUAUCCAUCUUCGAGAAAUCAAGUGCCAUGACAAGCAGAGUCCUUUUAGAUUCGUUGCGGAACGACUUUCAUAUCAUACACCUACUUUACGUAAUAAGCAAAGAACACAAGUAAGGGGGUAAGAAUGAGAGACUUGACGAAAAAUAAAAGAAAUUAUUUGUGUAAAGUGCGGAUAAAGAAUUAAGAUUGCUAGUUUUAUCAGAGCAAAUGAAAAUCAUUUUGAUAUAGCCAUCAAAGUAGCAAAAUAUUCAUUUUCCAAGAAAUUUGCCAAUUAUGCUAAAAAUUCAAAUGUAUAAAUACAUUUAAUUGAAUCAUCGUUUAAAAUUUGGAAUGUUCUCUUCAUUUUCACACCUCUACAUCAAAGGAACAGAAUUUGUACUUACUAGUACAUCUGUUAUAAAUUGUUGGUGAUUACAUAUAACCCAAGCACUAAACAUUUAUUAAGAGGUACGUUGUAUUUGCCUUAAAGCUAUUGUAUUUAGAACACAAUGAUAAGUUUAUCUUUUUGUCAAUCUCAGAGGUGUACCGCGUGCACCCAAGACACACCUCUCCUUAAAUCCGCCUCUGCAAUCGAAAGAAUGUAAGUGGUUUUUCGUUUCAUCAAUAUGCAUAUUAAAACAAUAUUACCGUAGCUUUAUUUGUUUUUUUUUCAGUUUAAAAAAGUUCCAGAAACAUGGCCCGUCAAAUGUUUAUAUGCAUUAUGAUUUCCUGUUUGAUGAUUGUGUCCCUUGGGUGUAGUGCUGGGAACAGUUAUGUACCGUGUUUGUGUGCAUGUGAAGAUACGUAUACCAGGUGUAAGGCCGAUUGUGUUAUUAAACACGUCGGAAUGAACGUAGUUACUUGUUACAGACUUUGUGGAUCUGUUCUAAUUAGUUGUAACAGAAAUUGUUUUUAGCUUCUAAUAAUAAAAGAAGAUAAUGAUAGUUUAAACGUAGAGGCAUAUAUUUGUUUCUUGCAUUAGAACUUUAACUUAGUUCGUCAUUAUAUAUUACCCCUAAUAUUUGUAAUACGCUUCGCAUAUUUUUAUAGAAAGAAAAACAAUAAAAA
This 4301-nucleotide long non-coding RNA is filed under the name Mytilus galloprovincialis (Mediterranean mussel). The record is from RNAcentral. Lineage: Eukaryota; Metazoa; Mollusca; Bivalvia; Mytilida; Mytilidae.